RNAcentral lists this transfer RNA (113 nucleotides) under Mycosarcoma maydis (corn smut). Its description in RNAcentral is "tRNA-Gln for anticodon UUG". It matches the Rfam family "tRNA". Rfam says of the family: Transfer RNA (tRNA) molecules are approximately 80 nucleotides in length. Their secondary structure includes four short double-helical elements and three loops (D, anti-codon, and T loops). Lineage: Eukaryota; Fungi; Basidiomycota; Ustilaginomycetes; Ustilaginales. The record is from RNAcentral.
GGUCGUAUGGAGUAGUGGUCAACUUAGGAGAUUUUGACUGGUCUCUGUCCUUCGAGGCGGUGGAUUCGUAUUCAUAUAUUCUCUUGCCCUGGGUUCGAAUCCCAGUACGACCU